This 85-nucleotide non-coding RNA is filed under the name Otolemur garnettii (small-eared galago). The record is from RNAcentral. Lineage: Eukaryota; Metazoa; Chordata; Mammalia; Primates; Galagidae.
CUAGACUGAAGCUCCUUGAGGACAGGGAUGGUCAUACUCACCUCGGUGUUGCCCACACCUCCAGGCCAGGAGCCUAAGUACAGGA